AUUGAACGCUGGCGGCAGGCCUAACACAUGCAAGUCGAACGAGUGGCGGACGGGUGAGUAAUGUCUGGGAAACUGCCCGAUGGUGGGGGAUAACGACUGGAAACGGUAGCUAAUACCGCAUACCAUCGGAUGUGCCCAGGUGGGAUUAGCUAGUAGGUGGGGUAACGCCUCACCUAGGCGACGAUCGCUAGCUGGUCUGAGCGGAUGACCAGCCACACUGGAACGGAGACACGGUCCAGAAGCCGACGGGAGGAAGCAGUGGGGAAUAUUGCACAAGGGGCGCAAGCCUGAUGCAGCCAUGCCGCGUGUAUGAAGAAGGCCUUAGGGUUGUAAAGGACUUUCAGCUAGGAGGCGUUACUCGCAGAAGAAGCACCGGCUAACUCCGUGCCAGCAGCCGCGGUAAUUC
This 406-nucleotide ribosomal RNA is filed under the name uncultured bacterium. Its description in RNAcentral is "partial 16S ribosomal RNA". It matches the Rfam family "Bacterial small subunit ribosomal RNA", at positions 29 to 526 of the family's 1533-position model. The record is from RNAcentral.